Molecule: long non-coding RNA, 581 nt
Organism: Homo sapiens (human)
Lineage: Eukaryota; Metazoa; Chordata; Mammalia; Primates; Hominidae
Exons: 4
Source: RefSeq, a predicted model, not a curated record
UGCAUUCCAGCCUGGGUGACAAGAGUGAAACUCCAUCUCAAAAAAAAGAAAAAGAAAAAAAGAAUGGAGUCCAAUUUCCCUUCCCUUGAAUAUGGGCUGCUUCUAGUAAUUAGCUUUUAAUAAAUGGGAUACAGAGGAACUGACGCAACAUGACUUCUGAGGCCAGGUUAUAAGAGCAGAUCAGCUGCCACCCAGGCUUUCUCUCCUUGGGACACUCAUACAUAGAUCCAGGUGCUGUGAUGCAAGGAAACCUAGGCCACACAGAGAGAGGCAUAUAUAGGUGAUCUAGCUGAAACCCCAGCUGUGAGGAAGCCUGCAGGCCCCAACCGUGGCUUGACUACAACUGCCUGAAAGAUCCCAGCAAGAAUUGCCUCGCUGAGUCCAGUCAACUGCAGGAACAGAGUGAGCUAGCUGACAUGCUGGACAGCUCCAGAUGGCAAGAAAUUGAGGUUGAUCCCUGCCAACAGUUUGUAAGAAACUGAAUCCCGUCAACAAGCAGACUUGAAAUAAUCUCAGAUUCCCCCCGCCUCCCAACCAAGAAGCAUCUGAGAGCUGGACACAGUGGCUCAAGCCUGUAAUCC